CGUGGGGAACCUGCCCCAUAGUCUGGGAUACAACUUGGAAACAGGUGCUAAUACCGGAUAAGAAAGCAGAUCGCAUGAUCAGCUUUUAAAAGGCGGCGUAAGCUGUCGCUAUGGGAUGGCCCCGCGGUGCAUUAGCUAGUUGGUAAGGUAAAGGCUUACCAAGGCGAUGAUGCAUAGCCGAGUUGAGAGACUGAUCGGCCACAUUUGGGACUGAGACACGGCCCAAACUCCUACGGGAGGGCAGCAGCG
RNAcentral lists this ribosomal RNA (249 nucleotides) under uncultured Lactobacillus sp. RNAcentral describes it as "partial 16S ribosomal RNA". It matches the Rfam family "Bacterial small subunit ribosomal RNA", at positions 116 to 356 of the family's 1533-position model. The record is from RNAcentral. Lineage: Bacteria; Bacillati; Bacillota; Bacilli; Lactobacillales; Lactobacillaceae.